Molecule: long non-coding RNA, 4801 nt
Filed under: Sus scrofa (pig)
Lineage: Eukaryota; Metazoa; Chordata; Mammalia; Artiodactyla; Suidae
Description: lncRNA (ENSSSCG00000052651.1)
Source: RNAcentral
UGACUGCAUGGGCUGGCGUACAAGGUCUCACAAACUGGGGCUUCAGCGGCAGCUCCGAACAGCUCUGAAGGCUGGAAAUCCUGGGCGUGGGCAGGGUUGGCUGCUUCUGAGGACUCGGAGGGCGCGUCUGUUCCGUAACUCUCUCCUGGCUCCCGGGAGCCCAGGCACCUCUCAGCCUGUAGGUGCAUCACGGACCCUCCACCCUCACAGGGUGUGGCCUCUGCGCCUCUGUCUCCCCAGGACUCUGUUCUUAUAACUCACCUUGGAUUCGGGGGGGGCCCCCCUGCCUCAGUGUGACCUCGUCUUGGCUAAUUCACCCACAGUGGCCCUAUUCCAAUAAGGUUCCAGGUAUGGGGGCUAGGACUUCAGCAUGUCUUUUGGGGGUGACAGAAUUCAACACCCCCCCCUUGCAGUUCCUGCUGUGGCACAACAGGAUUAGCAGUGUCUCUGCAGCAGCCAGGACACAGGUUUGAUCCCCGGCCUGGCACAUGGGGUUAAAGGAUCUGGCUUGUAGGUCGCAACUGCGACUGGGAUAUGAUCCUUGGCCGGGAACUCUGUAUGCCCCGGGGGGGGGGCCAAAAAUUUUUUAAAAAUUCAACCCCCAACUUAGGGACUUGGGAGGGGCCUGUGGCAGCAAGGGCCUCUGAGUUGCAAACAAGCUUCUUCAGCACAGCAGCAGCCCUACCCCUGGGAUGAAGUGGGGAAUGGUGUGUGGGGGGCGUGGACCGUCAGUGGGGGCAUAGAAACCCAUCAUUCCCCGCCAGCCCUCUCUGGCCACCCUGGAGGUCCCAGUUCCUCUUUUGCAGAAGCCCUCCUGGGUCUCUCAAGGGCUUUCCCUGUCCCCCAUCCCCGCAGACUAGAAGUGGCCCCAGGAGAAGGCGUCAACCGAAGAGGAACAGGAGUUGGUGAACAUAUGCCUCAGCUUCCUCAUCCGCCUCAAAGGGACUUUAAAACAAUUUUUUUGGAGUUCCCUUCAUGGCUUAGUGGAUUAAGAACUUGGCUAGUAUCCAUGAGGAUGUGGGUUCAAUCUCUGAUUUCACUCAGUGGGUUAAAGCAUCUGGCGUUGCUGUUGAGCAGCAGUAAAGGUCAAAGUCACAGCUCAGACCCGGCGUGGCUGUGGCUGUGGUGUAGGCGGCCUCUGUAGCUCCAGUUAGACCCCAGCCUGGGAACUUCCACACGUCAUGAGUGCGGCCCUAAAAAAAUAAAUAAAUAAAAAAGAGAGAGAUGGCAUCUGAGGCAGGACCUGGGUGUUGAGAAGGAGGUGGCCGAGCAGGGGUCUGAGGAGGCCCCAGGAGAGCGGCCAGGGUUCAUGGGGAUCAGGAGGAGCCCAUGGUGGGAGAGGCUGCAGAAACCUGGAAAUAUAUGAGUGUGUGUGUGUGUGUGUUUCCUGGACCUAAGUGAGGCCUGUGGGAGGUGAGGUGAGGGCCCAGCCUGGGCUCAUCCACAUGCACAGGAAGCUGGGUUCUGCAAACUUUCACGUGCCCAUUCCAGUCCCAUUUCAAGUAUCUUGUCAGGUGAUGAGAAGACCAAGUUGUUUCACCGGAAUUUCUGGGAUUAGCUUCGGAUCCUCUGUGUUGGCGUGUAAUGGAAGAACAGCUGCAGCUGCCCCACCAGGGCCUUGCAGCUCUGGCUGUGGAGCAGGCAGAUGGGAGACAGCUGCCAGGGCCUUCCUGGGGUGGGUCUCUCCAGCUGCAAAGGGGGAGUGAGUCAGAGUGUUGAAAACUGCCCCCGCCUGAGGCUGGGGCGGGUGUGGCUCCCUUGCUGAUGAACACCUGCCUUUGUACUCAGUAUUCUGUAGUAGCGCACAUGGGAAAAUGGAAUGGAGAUACGUGUAUAUAUAUGUAAAACUGAUUCCCUUUGUACAAUGUUGUAAAUCAACUAUACUCCCAAUGUUUUUUUUUGCUUUUUAGGGCCGUACCCAUGGCAUAUGGAAGUUCCCAGGCUAAGAGUCGAAUUGGAGCUACAGCUGCUGACCUACACCACAGCAACAUGGGAUCCGAGCCAUGUCUUCGACCUACACCACAGCUCACGGCAACGCCGAAUCUUAACCCACUGAGCAAGGCCAGGGAUCGAACCCGCAACCUCAUGGUUCCUAGUUGGAUUCGUUAACCACUGAGCCACUACGGCAGCAAGCCUUAACUGCUGUGGUUUGGUUUAGAACAACUGUAACAUAUUCUUUUGUUUCUGGCAUUGUCCCAAAUGACCCCCUCCAGCACUUUGAUGUUCCUUAGGGCAGUAGUCUGCAACACAACCCUCACAGUGACAGUAUCUUAAAUGUUUGAUCUCCACUGUCCAUUCCAACAGCCCAGGAGGCAGACUGAUAGAUAAGGAAACCAGCUCUAAGAAGCUAGUGAAUUUGCUCCAGGCACAAAGGCACUAAGAAUCCUGUUUUUCUUCCCCACUGCUGCUCUGAGACCACUAGAGGUUCUCUGACUUCCUCCACAGGCCACAGAACAUUGGUGACCCAACAGGGGUCCCUCCCCCGUGCUCCCCAGGGACAGGCCAGGGCUCCGUCCUGGGCCCUGGAGACUGGCUUUUACUUGGAGGCUUACUAAGUAGCUACCCAUUAUCCUCUGGUGAGGAGGAGGAGCCACAUUUUGAGGAGCUCGCAGCGUCCAGCUGUCCACCUUCCUUUCCUGUUGGCACACUGGGCCCAGGUUUUGGCUGCUUUUGCUACAGCGGCAAGCGGAGGAUCUAAACUGGGCUUUGCAGGGUCGCAUUGUUUGGAAAAACCAUAUGCUUCUGAGCCAGCUCUUUAACAUAUGUGGUUGGACACAACAUUGUAAAUCAACUGUACUUUAAAAAAAAUUUUUGCGGGGGGGGGUUUCCAUUGUGGCUCAGCAGUAACAAACCCGACAAGAAUCCAUGAGGAUGUGGGUUCAAUCCCUGGCCUUGCUCAGUGGAUUGAGGAUCUGGCGCUGCUAUGAGCUGUGGUACAGGUCAAAACCUGGCUGGGAUCCCACGUGGAUGUGGUGUAGGCUGACAGCCGAGGCUUCAACUUGACCCCUAGCCUGGGAACUUCCGUAUGCCUCAGGUGUGCCCAUAAAAAGACAAAACAAAAAUUUUUUUUUUUUAAACAUGUGAUUAAAAUGAGAUCCACGCCGCAGGGUUCCUGUUCUGACUUCGACUUAAGUACUCUGUGGACCAGUUAGAUGUAGAAAUAUCUUGAGGGGUUUACAGAUGAUACCCUCCUCCCACCCACAUUCCUACCCUGGAGGGAGCCUGCUGCCUAAGUUCCUGGAGGAGUGGAAUUGAUAUUACCUUUUAAAAAUUUGCGUGGGGAGUUCCCCUGGUGGCUCAGUGGGUUAAGGAGUAUGUUUUCGCUGCUGUGGCUCAGGUUCAAUUCCUAGCCCGAGAACUUCCGCAAGCUAUGGGUGCACCAAAACUAAAUAGGCCAACUUCACAGAAAUACACGAACCAAAGAAAAGCAAACUUCACAUGUUACACUAAUUAGGAGAGGGUUCUGAUUCAAAAGAAAUGUUCAUUGUAAAGUCCAAAUGCAAAUGUCAUGGCUUUGAAUUUAGACAUUGGAUUUGAGUUGACUGUGGCUUUAGACAAGUUACUUAUUCUCUUCUAUUGCUUUGCUGUCUUGGCUGCAAUGAGGCUCAUGCCCAUGUGAAGCUUGACAGCUCAUGAAAAGACCAGCCCCGUGCCAGGCACGUGAUAAGAACGCCGUCAAUAUUGUCGUCUCCCCAGUUAGGAUUUCCUGUGCACAAGCAGGCUUAUCGUGCUUUCUCCUCAGAAAUAGUUUGGCUUCUUACCACAUAAUUCUGCAAAGUAGAUUAAAGUUCUUCCUACACCCUCGCUUGCAUUAUUAGUUUACCCAGCAGACUUUUACAAAGUCAGGCUAACUCUCAGGGCAGCUGGGUCCAAAUGCGACCGGAGCCAUGUGACUUCUUCCCUGAGCUGGCUGCAGAAACAGUUGGUAGCAUCCUUAGCUGUUUUUCCCUGGCACGCGGGGAGGUGACAGUGGAGUGGGUGGGGCUCAGCCAUGUGUGUGGUGGAGCCGUCAAAGACCCCAGGAUUCCAGACUGGACGGCUCUGUAGCCCAGUAGCCUGACUUCACACAUCAACAAACAGAGGUUCUUCGGGGCCAGGUAACUGCAGGGUGGUGUCACGCUGGGCUGUCAAGGGCUUGGGCUCGGAACGAAGCUGCUUGGCUCCUGGGGUUUGGGAAGAUCAAGCUGGCUAGCCUGAGCCAUGUUACCUAAGCUUCUAAGUUUCCUCCUCCUCUAAACAAAAGCUUUACCUACUUUUUUUCUUCUUUUUUUGCUUCUUUUUAGGGCUUCACCUGCAGUGUAUGGGAGUUCCCAGGCUGGGGGUUGAAUCAGAGCUGCAGCUACUGGCCUCUGCCACAGUUGCAGCAACACUGGAUCCUUUAAUCCACUGAGCCAGGCCAGGGAUUGUACUGGCAUCCUUCAUGGAUACUAGUUGGGUUUGUUACUGAUGAGCCGUAACGGGAACUCCGAUGAAUUGUUGAUCUACAAGGAUUCAGAACUCAAUGUUGAGGGCAAUUCACUUCCUCUGGGCCGUUUUCACAGUGCAGUUGUUCUGUUCCUUUGGUGAGGAUUACUAACACAGGGAUGGGUGCCUGAUGAUAUGUCAUCACUCUUGACUCUAUUGAAAUGCUGCUUGGGUUUCUUGAGGUUCUGCCUUUAGAGAAAAUUCUAGGUGUGUCCCCCAGAUCCCAGAAGGAGUCUGCUACAGAGAACCCCCUUAGACAUGUCCUUGACCCUUACUUUGGACCUUUGUGUGUCAGCUCACACACACCUGUUACAGUAUCUACCUUCUGAGCGUUAGA